Molecule: ribosomal RNA, 421 nt
Filed under: Fusobacteriota bacterium
Lineage: Bacteria; Fusobacteriati; Fusobacteriota
Description: Fusobacteria bacterium partial 16S ribosomal RNA
Rfam family: Bacterial small subunit ribosomal RNA
Source: RNAcentral
UGGGGAAUAUUGCACAAUGGACGGAAGUUUGAUGCAGCGACGCCGCGUGGAGGGUGUAGGCCUUCGGGUUGUGAACUCCUUUUUCUCGAGAAAAAGGCACAGUUUUGGCUGUGUUGAUGGUAGUGGGGGAAGAAGCGCCGGCUAACUACGUGCCAGCAGCCGCGGUAAUACGUAGGGCGCGAGCGUUGUCCGGAUUUAUUGGGCGUAAAGAGCUCGUAGGUGGUUCGUCGCGUCUGUCGUGAAAGCCAGCAGCUUAACUGUUGGUCUGCGGUGGGUACGGGCGGGCUUGAGUGCGGUAGGGGUGACUGGAAUUCCUGGUGUAGCGGUGGAAUGCGCAGAUAUCAGGAGGAACACCGAUGGCGAAGGCAGGUCACUGGGCCGUUACUGACACUGAGGAGCGAAAGCGUGGGGAGCGAACAGG